Monomorium pharaonis (pharaoh ant) is the source of this 1514-nucleotide long non-coding RNA. RefSeq lists it as uncharacterized. NCBI's taxonomy places the organism in Eukaryota, Metazoa, Arthropoda, Insecta, Hymenoptera, Formicidae. The record is from RefSeq and is a predicted model, not a curated record. The transcript is spliced from 3 exons.
AUGCACAAAAUCUAAAUUCAUCGUGUGCUGAACAAAAACAGAAUAAUAAAUGUAUACCAUUCAAUUUUUUCUUAGAAUUACGAUUUAUGUACCCACUAAACAUGAAACCUUUAGAAAACGUUACAUUCGAGAAAAAUACAUCGCAUUAAAAACGUUUUAUAAUGAAUGUUUAUGCUAUGUUGCAUAGACGUUUUGGUAAAACGUUUUAUUUCUAACGUUUACGGAACGUCACAAGAACAUUCCAUUUCUGUAAUUAAAACGAAUAUUUGGAACGUUUCAAUUGAAACGUUACACGACUUUCAAGCAACAUUCAGUUUGUAACGUUACAUAUUAACCGUUUUGCAACGUUUAGAGAACAUUUAAUUUGUAACGUGUCAUUAGUAACAUUUUAAAAUGUAAGCCUAACGUUAUAUACGAAACGUUUCUAAAACAUUAAUUAUAUAAUGUUACAUGAAUUUUCUCAUGUAAAACGUUUAUUUUGGGACAUUGAAAAACGUUUUAAUAACAUUAUAUAUGUGAUGUUAGUGAAAUGUUCAUUGCACAACGUCGUACGAGUGUUGCAUGUAUAACGUUUUAUUUGUAACGGAACAAAACGUUUUAACAACGAUAUAUAUGUGCGAACUAGACGCACACAUGCGUGACGCCGUGUGCUCGGCCUAAACAAUUGAAAGUUAAUAUAACUUUUUCGCGUGGUGUCCUUUUUGCUAAGGCUGGAUCUACAAUAGCUGUAAGCCUUAUGCCAUAAGAAACUGUAAUCAAUUGUAAUUGAAAGUGACAAGAAAAACCGAAUAUAUUGUGCGUGCGGUGCUAGUCGAGUAUCAUAUCCCAGCAAACACCAAAUAUAAAUGCAAUAUAACGUGGGAGUAACAUGUAAUGUAACAGAUGUUACAUUCUAUUUAUAUUAUAGUUACGAAACUUUACUACAUAUAUGUGAUGUAACAAAGUUAUGAAGCUGUAAUAUUACUCCGUUAUUUGUAUGUUACAAUAACCGAACAGUGAUGUAACCACAAUGUUGCGUGGUUACACAACAAUUGUUUUAUUUAUGUUAUAUGGAUAUUAUAAAAUUUGAAUCUUGUGAGACUCUAACCUCAAUCGCACAACGUACAUCUCGUGCUAUUAGGCGCGCUUUCCGCUAGUGGAUGCUAUAAUGACAAAAGAGAGACGUUGUUUUCUUGCAACUUGACUUUAAUCAGGAUUCUGCCAAUUAUUCUUACAUCAUUCGGACAACUGUUCUUCUUAAAAUUUAAAAGAACGUAAAGAAUAACUGAAAUUUAUAAAAGCUGAAGAAAUUUUCACAAGGAUUAGAACAGAAAACUGAACUUAAAUGGAAGCGCUUGCACUCUCAUGUCACUAUCAUGUCCUGACAAUUUCGGAUUUUAUAAAACUAUAGGAGAUGUUGUGAUUGACGUUGAAAUUGUGAUUGACAUCUGGAGCAGAGCUAUAAUUUUGUUUAACAUUACGUGAAGUUUAUUUAAUGUUUUUCUCUUAUUUUCCCUCAUCUUUUGUUUUUAAAA